GAGGGUAUAGUUCAGUGGUAGAGCACAUUCUUAGCAUGUAUGAUGUCCUGGGUUCAACCCCCGGUACCUCUG
This 72-nucleotide transfer RNA is filed under the name Camelus bactrianus (Bactrian camel). It matches the Rfam family "tRNA". From Rfam's summary of the family: Transfer RNA (tRNA) molecules are approximately 80 nucleotides in length. Their secondary structure includes four short double-helical elements and three loops (D, anti-codon, and T loops). Lineage: Eukaryota; Metazoa; Chordata; Mammalia; Artiodactyla; Camelidae. RNAcentral also lists the same sequence under 1 other name. The record is from Rfam by way of RNAcentral.